AUGUGGCUUCAGGGGCUCCUGGCCUGGGCCAGGACCUUACGGGUACCACGUGGGGGGUACUUGGUGGACAGGGUGGGACUGACAUGGCCUCCUCUGGGGCUGCCUGCUUUUGUCCCAAACACCUUGAUGGUGGUAUCCAGGAGAGGGGAAGGAGGGGCCGUUGUCGCCAAGGUUCCCUCCCAGAACCCACAGUGGGAAAGCAAUCCUGUCAGCUACUGUCCAUUGUCACUGUGCUUGUGGGCUGGUGGCCAGAUCCUGGGAUGCCAGGCUGUGGGCAAGGAGGGGCCGGGGGCACCCAGGAGAGGCUGCAGUCAGAACCAUGGUGGGGCUGGAGGAGGCCUCUCUGCCACCAUUCUUCCUGGUCAGCAGCAGUGUCUCUCGGCAGGCUUGGGUUCAGGGUGGGGGCAUGUGGUCGCAUCCGCUGCUUGCCACUGUAUGCGCCAUGGUUACCCCGCGUCCUUCCCAGCACCCUCAGGAAGGCCCGGGCAGGGACUGGGAGCAGCAGACCCAGGCUGUUGGCCUGGUGUGGAGUGUGCCCAGUGUCCUUGGCAGGACCUGAGAGUGCCACCCCACGGGCAGAGCCUCCACCAGGUUGGCAGGGGGACCCCGCUCACUCCCUACAGCCAGUGUGGGCACAGGACUGGCGCUUCCUCAGAGAUGGUAUUUUAUCUUUCUUUUGAUGAAAACUGUCACUUUAGCAUGUACUCUAUCACAGAAUCCCGUGCAGUGACUCUAGGAUUUGAAACUGUAUGAUGUGUUACAUAAGAAUCUCUUUGCUGUCGACAGCCCGUAUAAAGGAGAGAGAGACACAUCACGCUGCUGUCAUGAUUUUGUCAGGCUCAUCCAAUAAAGUUGUAAAACAGGCA
Callithrix jacchus (white-tufted-ear marmoset) is the source of this 866-nucleotide RNA transcript. RefSeq lists it as uncharacterized. Lineage: Eukaryota; Metazoa; Chordata; Mammalia; Primates; Cebidae. The record is from RefSeq and is a predicted model, not a curated record.